AGAGUUUGAUCCUGGCUCAGGACGAACGCUGGCGGCGUGCCUAACACAUGCAAGUCGCACGAGAAAGUCCCCGCAAGGGGGCGAGUAAAGUGGCAGACGGGUGAGUAACACGUGGAUAAUCUACCUUCUCGUGGGGGACAACAGUCCGAAAGGAUUGCUAAUACCGCAUGACAUCAUAACGGGGCAUCCCGAAGUGAUCA
This 200-nucleotide ribosomal RNA is filed under the name uncultured bacterium. Its description in RNAcentral is "partial 16S ribosomal RNA". It matches the Rfam family "Bacterial small subunit ribosomal RNA", at positions 8 to 203 of the family's 1533-position model. The record is from RNAcentral.